This 400-nucleotide ribosomal RNA is filed under the name uncultured prokaryote. RNAcentral describes it as "bacterial SSU rRNA". It matches the Rfam family "Bacterial small subunit ribosomal RNA", at positions 355 to 774 of the family's 1533-position model. The record is from RNAcentral.
UUAGGAAUCUUCCCCAAUGGGCGAAAGCCUGAGGGAGCGAUACCGCUUGAAGGACGAAGCCCCUCGGGGUGUAAACUUCUGAACUUGGGACGAUAAUGACGGUACCAAGGUAAUAGCACCGGCUAACUUCGUGCCAGCAGCCGCGGUAAUACGAAGGGGGCUAGCGUUGUUCGGAAUUACUGGGCGUAAAGCGCACGUAGGCGGACAUUUAAGUCAGGGGUGAAAUCCCGGGGCUCAACCCCGGAACUGCCUUUGAUACUGGGUGUCUGGAGUCCGGAAGAGGUGAGUGGAAUUCCGAGUGUAGAGGUGAAAUUCGUAGAUAUUCGGAGGAACACCAGUGGCGAAGGCGGCUCACUGGUCCGGUACUGACGCUGAGGUGCGAAAGCGUGGGGAGCAAACA